Molecule: long non-coding RNA, 336 nt
Filed under: Homo sapiens (human)
Lineage: Eukaryota; Metazoa; Chordata; Mammalia; Primates; Hominidae
Description: HSALNT0346025
Source: RNAcentral
CUGAACCUCAUUGUGACCUGGGAGCCCUGCAUGAUGAAGGGAUGAUGGGUGAGCUACCAAGGCUAACAUUUUCCCGAGGACAUUGAGUUAGGGAAGUGGCCUCUCCUUGAGGGAAGGAGCCAGAUGACUUCUCAGAGAACAACAACCAUAUUCAAAAUAUUCUCAAGUUUCUUUUGUUUCUUCUUGUCUGCAUCUGAUAUCCAGGACAUUAUUCCACAGGAAAAGGUUAACAGGAAAUCAAGAUCGGCCCGAUGCUGGGGAUGCCUUGGUGAAAAAAUUAGAGCAACCCAAAGGAAGUCUUGUGUUCUUGAAAGAGGAAUCAGACAAAUACACAGG